CCGGAAGGUGCAGCACAGCUGUGGCGGCGGGUACUGCGUUAGUGAUUAGGGUUUCUUCCCUGCCGGAGGUGGGAUACACGGUAGCAUCAUGGUCGAGGAGGUACAGAAACAUUCUGUACACACCCUUGUGUUCAGGUCAUUGAAGAGGACCCAUGACAUGUUUGUAGCUGAUAAUGGAAAACCUGUGCCUUUAGAUGAAGAGAGUCACAAACGAAAAAUGGCAAUCAAGCUUCGUAAUGAGUAUGGUCCUGUGUUGCAUAUGCCUACUUCAAAAGAAAAUCUUAAAGAGAAGGGUCCUCAGAAUGCAUCGGAUUCAUAUGUUCAUAAACAGUACCCUGCCAGUCAAGGUGAGUAUGGUAUUAUCAGAAAUGUCAGACUUAUAUGUGAAUUUUAAAAACAGAAAAAUAAAAUGUGUUAUUUUUGCCCCUCCUGGCAGGACUUAUUGUGGUCGUACAGUAUUUAAUGGCCGUACCAGUAUUAUAAUGGAAGUUUUGAUCCUCAUGGGAAUACUGUUGAUGACUUUUUUCUUAUAGGAAAUAAAAAUGGUAGUAUAAUGAUGGCAGAGAUUCUUAGAAU
This 576-nucleotide small RNA is filed under the name Pongo abelii (Sumatran orangutan). RNAcentral's name for it is "retained intron". Lineage: Eukaryota; Metazoa; Chordata; Mammalia; Primates; Hominidae. The record is from RNAcentral.